AUGCAGCAGGCGCAGCGGAGCAAGGGUUCGGCGGAGGCGGACUUCUUCACUGAGUACGGCGACGCCAACCGGUACAAGAUCCAGGAGGUCAUCGGCAAGGGGAGCUACGGGGUUGUGUGCUCCGCCCUUGAUCUGCAGACCAGGCAGAAAGUGGCCAUCAAGAAGAUACACAAUAUCUUCGAGCAUACCUCCGACGCCGCGCGGAUCCUCCGUGAGAUCAAGCUUCUGAGGCUCCUACGGCAUCCCGACGUCGUCGAGAUCAAGCACAUUAUGCUGCCUCCCUCCAGAAAGGACUUCAAGGACAUCUACGUUGUUUUUGAGCUCAUGGAGUCUGAUCUCCACCAAGUUAUUAAGGCCAACGAUGACUUGACGAAAGAGCACUACCAGUUCUUUCUCUACCAGCUACUCCGAGCCCUCAAAUACAUUCAUACUGCUAGUGUUUACCAUCGUGACCUGAAGCCCAAGAAUAUUUUGGCAAAUUCUAACUGCAAACUGAAGAUAUGUGAUUUUGGACUAGCACGAGUUGCAUUCAACGAUACCCCAACAACUGUCUUCUGGACGGAUUAUGUCGCGACAAGAUGGUAUAGAGCUCCAGAGCUCUGCGGAUCCUUCUUCACAAAGUAUACACCUGCCAUUGACAUUUGGAGCAUUGGGUGCAUUUUCGCUGAGGUGCUGACAGGAAAGCCUUUGUUUCCUGGUAAAAAUGUUGUCCAUCAGUUAGACUUAAUGACUGAUCUCCUAGGGACACCUUCAAUGGAUACAAUUUCUCGGGUCCGAAAUGAGAAAGCAAGAAGGUACUUGAGCAGUAUGAGAAAGAAAGACCCGGUCCCAUUUUCUCAGAAGUUUCCUAAUGCAGAUCCUUUGGGAGUUAAACUCUUGGAGAAGCUAUUAGCCUUUGAUCCAAAAGACCGUCCAACUGCGGAAGAGGCAUUGACUGAUCCAUACUUUAGAGGCCUUUCCAAGCCAGAGAGAGAACCAUCCUGUCAGCCAAUCAGAAAAAUGGAGUUUGACUUUGAGCACAGCAGAGUGUCAAAGGAUGAUAUAAGGGAGCUGAUAUUCCAGGAGAUAUUGGAAUAUCAUCCGCAAUUGCUGAAGAGCUACACUGAUGGCACAGAGAGGACAACCUUUCUCUACCCAAGUGCUGUCGAUCAUUUCAAGAAGCAGUUCUCUCAUCUUGAAGAAAGCGAUGGCAGCGGCCCUGUAGUCCCAGCAGAUAGAAAACAUGCAUCUCUUCCUAGGUCCACUAUUGUUCACUCGACUCCAAUUCCCGCGAAGGACACUCGGCCGCUCUUUGGCAAGCCUUGCAACAAAACUUCCUCGGAGACAGGGAGGUAUGCUGGGAAUGGUCACGGUGCUUCUCAGGCUUCACACGCGGCACAAGCAGUGAUUUCGCGGAGAGCUGCCGGUUCAGCGUUACCUUAUGACGCGGCAAGCAGGCCGACGAUUAGCCCAGGAUGCCCUCCUCAGCAGCAGAUCCCACAAAUGUAUGGGCAAUAUCAGCAUCAAGCACCUCCUGGUGCUGGUGCUGGUGCUGGGAUACCACAGGCCAUGGGGGGCUAUGCCUGUGGUGGGUACACCAAAGGCACGGCGCCUAAUGCUGCUGCUGCUGCUCCGGCCAUGAGAGCACCCCCCUAUCGACACCUACCGACGGGGCAGAAGAACGGCCCGCUGGACAGACUGGCAGUGGAGACCACCGACAUAUACACGCGGUCGCUCAACGGCAUCGUCGCCGCCGCCGCGGCAUCGGCCGGUGCCACGGGCGCCCACAGGAAGGUGGGCGCCGUGCCGUUUGGCAUGCCGACGACUUACUAG
This 1812-nucleotide ribosomal RNA is filed under the name Triticum aestivum (bread wheat). RNAcentral's name for it is "partial small subunit ribosomal RNA". Lineage: Eukaryota; Viridiplantae; Streptophyta; Magnoliopsida; Poales; Poaceae. The record is from RNAcentral.